RNA transcript from Coffea arabica (coffee), 3469 nucleotides. It is a transcript of the gene named serine/threonine-protein kinase EDR1-like, with no coding region annotated. Lineage: Eukaryota; Viridiplantae; Streptophyta; Magnoliopsida; Gentianales; Rubiaceae. The record is from RefSeq and is a predicted model, not a curated record.
UCGUCUUCUUCUAUCCAUAUGGACUGUUUGUGUAUAAAUUUAGAGAGAUAAAGUACGAAGACCGAAAGAAAGAGGGAAGAAGAGGAGGAAAGAAAUGAAGCACCUCUUGAAAAAGCUUCAUCACCACCCUAAUCGAUCCAACGAAACUCCAUCUUCUACUUCUUCGUCCACGUCAUCAUCGUCGGCGCCGGCGUCAACGUCAGCGUCAUGUGGUGUCUCCGAUCACCGUCCUUCCAACUUCGGCAACGCUCCGGCGUGUGUUCCCACUACUGCUACUGCUGCUUCUCCUACUACAACUUCGCCGACUUCUGCUGCUCCUGCCACUUCUCCGGAGGCUACAGCUGCGGCGGAUAGGCAGCAGCAGCAGCAGCAGAAGAAGGAUUAUUUUGAUUCGGAGGAGGAAUUUGAGAUGCAGCUAGCCAUGGCAAUGAGCGUCUCGGCCUCUUUGGCGCAGGAGUCUGGUACUAUCGAUGGGAAUACUGAUCAUCAUCAUCAUCAGAGUUUUCUCGGAGGAGGCCGAGGUGGCGACUCUGUGGGCCACAGGGAUGAUGCUGCUGCGGACUUGUUGUCCAGGCGGUUUUGGGAAGAUAGUGGACUUGACUAUGAGGAAAAGGUGGUUGAAGGCUUCUAUGAUGUCUUCAGUCUCUCCAUAGAUCCAGCAAGCAAAGGAAAAAUGCCAUCUCUUACUGAUCUUGAGACAAAUCCUGGUGGCUCUGAUUUUGAAGUAGUAAUAGUCAACAAAUCUAUUGAUCCUGCUUUGAGAGAGUUGGCGGAGAUUGCACGGUGUAUAGUAGCAACGACUGAGAUUGGUCUUCAAGUACAGAGACUUGCUGAACUUGUUGCAGACCAAAUGGGUGGACCAGUGAAGGAUGCAAAUGUCAUAAUGGCAAAAUGGCUGGAAAGAAGCACAGAGUUAAGGACAUCUCUCCACACAGUUGUGCGACCUCUUGGGUCAUUAAGACUUGGGCUUUUACGUCAUCGAUCGCUGCUUUUUAAGGUAUUGGCUGACAAUGUUGGUAUACCUUGUAAAUUGGCGAAUUGGAGUAAAUACACUGGAAAUGAGGUUGAUGUUGUGAACUUUGUAAAGUUUUCAGACGGAAGUGAGUUCUUAGUUGAUCUCAUGGGUGAACCUGGGGCACUCAUACCUGCUGAUGUUUUGAGUGCAAAAGAUGGAUCUUUCAAGUCAUAUCCUCCGAAAUUAGGCAAACUUCCCACUUUUCAGGCAACCAGUGAUACUGGAGCUGCUCAAUCAAAUCCAUAUUUAUUAUCUGGACAGAGUUCCGCAGAGGAAAAUAGUUUCUCUUCACAAAAAGAUUCCGAAAAGACAGAUUCAUUGCCUUCUCCUCAGAAUGGAAGAACCAGUAGCAGUGUUAGCUCUUCUGGAUUGAACAAAAGGGCACCAGCUUCCAACCAGAUGGAUCAUAUCCCAUCCUUGGCUAUUGGGACUUCUUUGUACAAAGGUGGUCGUGGGCCCAAUGCAGCUGGUGAUGGUGCAAGAAUGAAUGUGAAUCUGGUUCCAUAUAAUCAGAGCAGUACUGAAGACCCAAAAAAUCUUUUUGCUGAUCUUAAUCCAUUCCAAAUAAAAGGAUCCGGUAAGGCUUCGUUGCAAGGGGACUAUGGUAGGAAAAACUUUAAUGAAAUACCACGGCCAAAAGGUAACCUUCUUAGUGGCCGACCUCCAGUACCUUUGGCACAAAAAAGUAACCAGAUAUAUAAUGAGGCUUCCAAGAAAAAUGAAUAUGACUUUGUUGAGAGCCUCUUCUCAAAGAGCAAUCGCACAGCUGGUGAAUGCAGUAUGUUGUCAACUCCUUCUACAAGCUUCACUCCUCCAGUCGUAGCUAGAAAGUCUGAUGAUGCCUACAGAGAGGAUGAUGCAAACAUGUAUGCUGUUAAUAAUUUGGCAAUAGCUGAGGUGCAAUUCAAUCGGUUGUCUCUACAGGAUGACCAGGGCAUUGAUCAGAAAGAAACUUAUCAAAGUGGUGGUGGAAUGCUUCAGAAUGGCCAAUCAAAUAUUACAAAAGAGUAUGGGAAGGAUGCUAGUGGGAUGCAUGACCAGAGAAACAAUCAGCAAGAUGGUUUUACAUUGACUGAUUUAAGAUUCAAGGAUCAAGCAUAUCCAAGCUCUUCUGUUAAUCCAGCUGUUCCUCAACUUGAUCCUGUAAUUGAUGAUGUCAGUGAAUGUGAAAUUCCAUGGGAAGAUCUAGUUAUUGGUGAAAGGAUUGGACUAGGUUCCUAUGGUGAAGUAUAUCAUGCUGAUUGGAAUGGCACUGAAGUUGCUGUGAAAAAGUUCCUUGACCAAGAUUUCUCGGGUGCUGCUUUGGCUGAGUUUAGGAGAGAAGUGCGCAUAAUGCAAAGGUUACGCCAUCCAAAUGUAGUUCUUUUUAUGGGUGCUGUAACUCGGCCUCCGAAUCUCUCUAUUGUCACGGAGUUUUUACCACGAGGAAGCUUAUAUCGGAUUAUUCAUCGCCCACAGUGUCAAAUUGAUGAAAAGCGAAGAAUUAAAAUGGCUUUAGAUGUGGCAAAGGGCAUGAAUUGCUUACAUACUAGCAUACCUACAAUCGUCCACCGUGAUCUGAAGUCACCAAAUUUGUUGGUUGAUAAUAAUUGGAAUGUGAAGGUAUGUGAUUUUGGGUUGUCACGUUUGAAGCACAAUACAUUUUUGUCAUCGAAGUCGACAGCUGGGACAAGUGGAUGGCACCAGAAGUACUCCGAAAUGAGCCUUCUAAUGAGAAGUGUGAUGUUUAUAGUUUUGGCAUCAUUUUGUGGGAAUUAGCAACCCUCAGACUACCUUGGAAUGGGAUGAAUCCAAUGCAGGUUGUGGGUGCUGUAGGCUUUCAAAAUCGCCGUCUUGAUAUACCAAAGGAAGUUGAUCCAUUAGUAGCUAGAAUAAUUUGGGAAUGUUGGCAAACGGACCCAAAUCUGCGCCCUUCAUUUAGUCAACUCACAGUGGCAUUGAAACCAUUGCAGCGGCUUGUCAUCCCUUCGCACAUAGAUCAGCCAAGCCAACCCAUGCCUCAGGAGAUCUCGGUGAAUUCCACGCCUUAAGACACAUCUCAGAUCCUCAACUGUGAAAAAAUAUUGUUGUGUUUGCACAGGAUGACGAACAUGAACUAUUCAGAGAAAGUGAUAAAGUUUUGGAGUCGCUUCCCUGAUGGAAACAAAAGCUGGGGAUUUGCUGUUUGAGUUGGGAGUCAGAACUCAAAUUUGCGAAUGCAGUUUUAAGGUCAAAAGCAAAAGUUAAUGUGUGUGUAUUGUUUCUGCAGCUCAAAACUUGCUGUGGCUCUUCUUGUACAGUGGCUUGUGCAUAUGUGAUCCCAAUGCUUAAAAUGUAUAGCUUGAUGUCUUGUAAUAUUUCUUGUUGGUCUCAUUAAAAAUAUUGAAAAGCUACCAUGUUAUCAUUGCUCGGCGCAAAAAAAAAAAAAAUCAUUUUAAGCCGAUAAUAAUUGCUGCUAUUUGCCAUUGGAACACA